RNAcentral lists this ribosomal RNA (380 nucleotides) under uncultured eukaryote. RNAcentral's name for it is "partial 18S ribosomal RNA". It matches the Rfam family "Eukaryotic small subunit ribosomal RNA", at positions 592 to 976 of the family's 1831-position model. The record is from RNAcentral.
CAAUAGCGUAUAUUAAAGUUGUUGCAGUUAAAAAGCUCGUAGUUGGAUUUGUGGUGUACUUCGGCGGCCCGUCACUAUGUGAUGGAGCUUGCUGAAGUCGCCAUCCUUUGGUGGAUUCUGUGUGGCAUUAAGUUGUCGUGCAGGGGAUGCCCAUCGUUUACUGUGAGAAAAUUAGAGUGUUCAAAGCAGGCUUAUGCCGUUGAAUAUGUUAGCAUGGAAUAAUAAGAUAGGACCUUGGUACUAUUUUGUUGGUUUGCGCACCAAGGUAAUGAUUAAUAGGGACAGUUGGGGGUAUUCGUAUUUCAUUGUCAGAGGUGAAAUUCUUGGAUUUUUGAAAGACGAACUACUGCGAAAGCAUUUACCAAGGAUGUUUUCAUUAA